UACGUAGGGUGCGAGCGUUGUCCGGAAUUAUUGGGCGUAAAGAGCUCGUAGGCGGUCUGUCGCGUCUGCUGUGAAAUCCCGAGGCUCAACCUCGGGCCUGCAGUGGGUACGGGCAGACUAGAGUGCGGUAGGGGAGAUUGGAAUUCCUGGUGUAGCGGUGGAAUGCGCAGAUAUCAGGAGGAACACCGAUGGCGAAGGCAACGAUCUGGCUAUGACUGACGCUCAGAGACGAAAGCAUGGGGAGCGAAUGGG
RNAcentral lists this ribosomal RNA (252 nucleotides) under uncultured bacterium. RNAcentral describes it as "partial 16S ribosomal RNA". It matches the Rfam family "Bacterial small subunit ribosomal RNA", at positions 524 to 776 of the family's 1533-position model. The record is from RNAcentral.